This 253-nucleotide ribosomal RNA is filed under the name uncultured bacterium. RNAcentral's name for it is "partial 16S ribosomal RNA". It matches the Rfam family "Bacterial small subunit ribosomal RNA", at positions 524 to 776 of the family's 1533-position model. The record is from RNAcentral.
UACGUAGGGUGCAAGCGUUAUCCGGAAUUAUUGGGCGUAAAGCGUUGGUAGGCGGUUUGUUAAGUUUGUAGUUAAAUUCGGUCGCUCAACGAUCGGUCCGCUACAAAAACUGGCAAGCUAGAGAUUGGAAGAGGCAACUGGAAUUCCGCAUGUAGGGGUAAUAUCCGUAGAUAUGCGGAGGAACACCAAAAGCGAAGGCAGGUUGCUGGUCCAUUUCUGACGCUGAGCAACGAAAGCGUGGGGAGCAAACAGG